UAGAUAGAUUAUUGUAUUCGACUUUAUUCACGAUAUGUAUUUGUGAAUACAGUAACAUAAAUUGCGCAAUUCAUGGUCUAUUCAGUUGUUUUAAACGGAAGUGAAUCAAUUAACAUAAUAGACUCCU
Molecule: microRNA precursor, 127 nt
Filed under: Nicotiana sylvestris (wood tobacco)
Lineage: Eukaryota; Viridiplantae; Streptophyta; Magnoliopsida; Solanales; Solanaceae
Also listed under: 1 other name
Description: MIR6152 microRNA precursor family
Rfam family: MIR6152 microRNA precursor family
Source: Rfam by way of RNAcentral